This is a non-coding RNA of Nicotiana tabacum (common tobacco), 1694 nucleotides long. The record is from RefSeq and is a predicted model, not a curated record. NCBI's taxonomy places the organism in Eukaryota, Viridiplantae, Streptophyta, Magnoliopsida, Solanales, Solanaceae.
CCUCAUGUAAUUUGAAACGGAGGGAGUAUUUCUUAUUUUGGGAAAGGCAUUAGAAAUAUUCAGAUAUUAUCUCACUGGCCUUGGAACAUAACAUUAUCUGGUUCCGCUACAUAUGUUCUGUGGAGAAAGUAGCAAACUGGCAAAGCUUCCCUUAAGCAAUUCAAGAAAAGCAUAUGUUGCCCAGGUUCCUUCUCAGUCCCAAUAGCCUAAACAACAAGUGUCUACUGCCUGACGACAAAUAUGGAUUCUAACUGAACUCUUCUAAUACAAAAGAGGAUGCUUCUGUGUGAUUAUGUGGAAGCCCUGAGAUGUGAAGAGGAAUUGUGCAAGGCUAAGACCACAAAUAAAAGGAAUUUAAUUUCCUCCCUACAUUGGACAUGUUUUUUGUGGGUUGUCUCUUCAUUGGUGUUUGCUGUUAAUGAGAAGUCCAUCCAUACUCCUCGUCAAACAGGUUGUAGAUCAAUUUGGAGACCUGGUUUAUUCCUAAUAUGCCGAAAAAGUGCAAAGGAUUUUGCUGAUUUACCUGUUGAUGAUACUCAAAGAUCAGCCAUUGGUGGUUUUCAACAGGCACACCGUUCCUGUCAAAUAUUAGGCACCCCGCUUAUCUCUUCCGAGCUGGAUCACUGAUGUUGCAAAAAGCUUGCAGAGAAAAUCUUAGGUAAAAUACGAACUUGAUCAAAUAAGGGAUCCAGGGUGGCUAAAGAUGGUAAGCUUGUUUUGUUUGGUAUCCACACAUAUUGGUUUAGUCUCUUCAUAUUGCCUAAACAGAAACAGGUUAUCAGAGCUAUCUCACAACUGUUCCAAAAAUACUGCUAUUCUUAAUCAAAUUUGGAAUAUCUUCUGAAAAGGAUUCUUACUGCAAUUAAUGGAUGAAUUCAGUGUCAACUUAGAAAUAAGAAAUUUUGGGCAGUCUCAGUUCCUCAUCAUUGCUUAAUUGCUCAUGGAGUUAAAUCCUCUAGAGUACCAGAUUUUGUAUUCAUUAUCAAAUUGCACAUGGUUGUAAUAUUUCUGUAUGCUAUAAUUCUUUCGAUCCUUUAGGACCAUGGCACUAGGUUUUCUCUACUAAUUGCUGCGACAGCCAUAUUUGACUCUAAAAGUAGCGGAUUCGACUGUGGAAUAUGGCUGGCAAUAACCAACUAGAGUCAGAGCAAUGCUCAACUUUGGUGGGGCUUCUAAUGGUUCGUUUGCCAUGUAUAAUUCCACAAGGCAGAGGCCUCUAGCUUGGCUACAGUAUUUUGUUUCGCGAAUUGUAUUUCAAGGAUGGCUUCAUUCUUUGGCUUGCUAUUCUAGAUAGACUUAAGCAUGACUCAAAAGUGAAAAUGUGGAUGCUGAUAGUUGUUCACGUAACAAACAUCCUGAAAAUGUAUCACAUCUCUGCUUUCAAGUGAAUAAUCUCAACCCAUCUGGCAGCAUCUCUUAAAACGGAGGCUAGUACAUAGAGAUAUUUGCCUUUGGACGGAGAACUCAAUUGGUUGAGUCAGAGAGUGCUUCAAAAUUAAGGAAUCAAAGAGUGCUUCAAAAUUAAGCUCAAACAACUAAAACCCCCUUUAUCUGUGAUCCAAGAGAAGCUGAGUACUUGCCACAAAUCGAGAAUUAGAGAUAAGCGGAAGAUGAACUUAAGAUUGGUCUUUUCUCUACAUAUUUUCGAUCUGUAAGGACUAAAGAGUAUCCAGUCUGAGCUCCAUUUGUAUUUA